AGUCAGACACAUGCAGAUCAAACCUCUCACAGGGACAGUUGAAAAGCUAUUUCCCAACAACUAACCAAAGGGUGUUGCUCUUUUGGCAGCUUGGAAUGAGAACUACCGAGAGCUUCCACCUUCCUUCUUAUCAUCAAGCACAGCCACAGCCCACGGCAAGCUUAUCUACAACCUAAGUACCUUCCACAGGCCCCAUGAGUGCCUUCUGGGAUCCUGGUUAACCUCUUCUGCAGAAGACAGGCCUCCUUCCUCCCCUGCUUUGCACUGUCAUGAACAGAGAGAGAAAAGAAAGAAAAGAUUUGAAGCAGGAUAACUGGUGAUUGCAUUGCCAGCUGCCUCAUUGCCACUGAGACUGAGAGGCAGAGAUGAGGGCGUCCACAGGGACCCAAGGAUGAGGUGAAAUACUGAAGAUAAAGUUGCUUGGCGUUUUCUCUUUCAGCAGUUUAGCCAAUAUUUAGCUAAUUUUCACCGCAGCUAUCUGAUCUGUGCUGCUCAUCUCCAUGUGCUGCAUUGGGCUGAGGGGCUCAGAGAAGAUCCUGUAAGUCAGAGGUUCCUCCAGUGUCGCUGGACAAGUGGAGCAAAAGAGCACAUGGAACCAUAAGUAAUGGAGUGUCUGUCAGCACUGCUAUUUAGAGCACCACAAUGCACUGAUGAAGAGCACUGCAACGUCUUGCUGCUCGGCUCGAUGAAACAACACCAGAUGCUGAAACUCUGUUGAAACUCAGCAGUAGGAAAGGGAAUGUUUGGUGGGAUGCAUGCUGCGUAACACAGAGAAACCAACACUAUACUCCAUCAGAAGAGGAAAGUUGAGUCCUUGCAUUGGUCCACCAUUACUCAGGAAAUCUGUGAAAUCAAGGGUUUUUACAGAGAAAAGAAGAAAACGCAUCUGUGUCUUCUCAGUGCAUCACAUCUGAACAAGUUCUGGGCUACGAAAACCCAAGUUCCAAAAAGAUGAAAGCCCCAAAAAUCAAAGUUUGGAAAUCACUCAAAAAAAAACAAGUUCUUGCCACAAGCAAAUGAUUCACCUGAGGGUUCUUGAGAUGUCAUUCCUUGACACGCUAAUAACCAAACAGAAUGAAUAAAUCAGCACUACACUCAUUCAAGACUGAGUACUGAUUCCUGAAAUGUACUGUCAGCAAGAAACACCUGAUCUGGAGACAUCGCCAAAUCUGACAGCAAUCCUAGAGGAGGCAAAGAAACCAAACAACACUGA
Tympanuchus pallidicinctus (lesser prairie-chicken) is the source of this 1213-nucleotide long non-coding RNA. RefSeq lists it as uncharacterized. NCBI's taxonomy places the organism in Eukaryota, Metazoa, Chordata, Aves, Galliformes, Phasianidae. The transcript has 5 exons. The record is from RefSeq and is a predicted model, not a curated record.